GGGGGGGGGGGGGGGGGGAGUGCAAGAUGAGGAGAGAAGGCACUCGGGGUCCAAUCACGAUGCCCCAGGGCCUGUUCGCUGCUCACUCUCAGCGAAGGUGGUGAAGAGGGCAGAGUGUUAAUGACAGUAAUUGCUUUAAUUAUUUUUUUGGUUUGGAGAGUCGUAAAAUGCGCAGCUCGCUCAAUGCUAAUCAUGGUAAUGAGGAGGGGCUGGGGCCCGAAUGGCCGGCAAUUAACUGGUGAAGCAUCAGGCUGCAGGCGGAGAGGAACAGGCGAUCAAACCCGCUUCUCUUCUCCCCUCCCCUCCCUUCCCUCUGCCUCCUUUGGCCUUUAUCCCCCUCCACCACCUCACUUCCCCCCUCCUCCCUCUGCACCACCCCCUCUGAGGGAGGCCUCUGUGAUGGUGAUGGCGGUGAUAGCAGGGAUGGGGGAGUCGCCGUGGCUGGUCUCAGGGAUUGGUCUCCGGCCUGGGGGACGUGGCUGUCCUGGGGGAAACAGGAGCAGGGAGAGCCCAGCCACAAGCAGAGGUCUGUGCCUGCUCUGGGCACGCGCCUGUGGAGCUCCUCCAGGGCUGGGCAGCUGCACACAGUCUGCUCUGGACCAAGCACCUUGACCCUUACAGAUGAGCCAGGAGACAGAGGGCAGAGCUGCAUCCUUAAAUGAAGCUGGGGGAAGCCUCAGGGAAUAGACAUUGACCACCUUCUAGCCAACCUAGCAUCACAGGGUCAACCAACAUUUUCCGAGCGCUCGCUGUGUGCCGGGCUGGAGACCCUGGGGAAUCGGGCUCUGCUUGUUCUCAAGAUGCUCCCGGCCAGGUGGGGAGCUGGACAUGGAAGGAGUAAUGACCCUCCUGGGGGCGGGGAGCAUCUGAACGCAGCAUUCAGGCCGAAGGUGCCAACUCUUGAAGAAUCAGGGAAGGCUUCCUGGAAGAGAUGGCAGGGCCAUCGCGGAGGACUUCCUGGAGGAAGCAAUGUUUUCUGAGUCUUGCAAGGUGAGUAGCAGUUUCCAGGACGUGAGAGGAGGGCAGAUUCCUGGCUGAGGAAAGGAAAGACAGGAGACAUAGUUGGAGAAAUCACUUUGGGCCAGAUUACAAGGGGCCUCAAAGACCCCACUUCGGAAUGAAGAAUAGAUGAAACCACAUAGGUAAAACAUGUGGCACAAAGUGAGGACUCGAUGGGUGAUAGCAACGCUGGUCCUGGCAGUGAUAACAAAGUGUGCAGCCAGGGACAGUGUCCCAGGGACACAGAUGCACUCAUGUGGGUACCUAGAGACACUGUCAUACACGUGAGCUCCAAUUACACGAAUCACAGAGACACAAACGCACAGUCACCCUGUCCCCUACCCCAGAUACGUCCAGACACACACGGUCAUACACACUCAGAUAGACACACUGACAAAGUGCACCUCUGGACACACUCAACACACCAGAUCCACAGGUGGCUUCAUCUCUGAGGGGCUUGCUAAGGCCAGAGCUGUGCCUGACCCCUCACCUUGGUACCUGCUCCCUGGGACCGUGGGCAGGGGUGGAGUCAGGGAAAACGGCCUCUGCAGACCACCCAGCAGCCUCUCUGCUUGGCCAGCAUGUGAUCCUUGGCACUGCAGCUGGAGAGCCUGAGGCCAGCUGCCAGGAAGAACUGUCCAGCUGGGAAGCCAGCUUACUGCAGUCAGGGGUGCCACAUACUGCCUGGGCCUGAGGGAUUGGUGAGGUGCAUAUACCUGGCUUGGGGCAGGGAGCCGUUUCACCCCAAGCCAAACUCCAACCCUCUUCCAAGAUCAGGUCUCAGGGCCUCUGGAGACCCUCCCCCUGUGGGCUUAGGCAGAGGACAUGUGAGUUCAGCGGGGAGCACACUGUGCAUGGUACAUGCAGGUGUCUGCUGUGAUGAUCAGAAGAGACUUGCAGCUGGAAGCAUGGUGGUUAGACCCUGACACUUCUGGAGGUGAGGGGGUGUGAGGGACGACAGAGGAGCAGAGGAGCUCCCAGGAUUUGGUGAGGAGCCACUAUUCUAGGAUGUGGAUGUGGGCAGAAGGAGCUUGCUGUGUGCCAGGCACUGUAACCAAAUGAGUUCCACGUGCGAACGUGUUUAAUCUGUCUAACACCCAACCGAGCGGGUGUCCUUAGCAUCCCAUUUUACAGCCGUGGGGCUUAAGGGCCUUGUGCGAUUCACAGCUGGAAGUGGUGGAGACUGAUGGGGACCAGGCAGCCGGGCCUCGGAGUCCUGCUCCAUCAGAGCAUCUCAUGCCAGGGUCCCUGCCGAUUCCCCAGACUGUCCUUCUGGAGGAUGCUGGUGACUACUUCGUCCUUGUGUCCUAGUAGCCGGCAGAGGCCCAGCACAUGACAAACAAGGGCUGGAUCCGCCUUCCCUGUCACACCGGCAGGCUGCUUGUCAGCUGCGGCGGCAUCUGUUCUCGUCAGAAAAAUGAAGAAGGAAGUGAAAGAGCCACAGCCCAGGACUGCCGGCUGGGGAGAGAGUCUGGGCCUGGCCUCUCCUGGGAAGACCCCUUCCAGUAUCCCACGGGAGGCACCUGGGGGCAGGCCGGGGCUGGAGGGGCAUGGGUGCUCCACCGACAUCCUCUCCCCUUAAGAGGGAAGUGUGGUGAACAGCGUGGUCUCUGGCGCUGACUCCUGGGCUGCAUCCUAGCUCUGGACUGCCAAGCUGUGUGUUUGGGCAAGUUAGUAAACCUCUCUGUGCCUUAGUUUUCCCAUCUGUAAAAUGGGGAUAAUCCUGUUGUUGUGAGAGUUAAGUGAAUUAAUAGAAGGAAAGCACUUGGAACCAAAUACACAGCUGGCAUUAGUAAGCAUUUUGUUGGUGUUGGUAUUAUUGUCUCUUCCUUGUCUUAAGGAUUGCUCCUGAGUGAGGGGCUCAGCCCAUAGGUGUGAGGGAGCCAGAGCUGCCUAUGGACCAAGCAGGUGGGAGAAAGCUUCGUUCAUUCUACAAACCUUUAUUGACCCCAAGACUCUGACUCCUGCCCUUAGGGACCCCCCAGUCUGGUGGAGGAAGGCAGGCGUGUAAACAGAAUUAUUAUAAGAGGUGGUAUGUACUGUUCAGGAAAAAGAGGAGGAAGCAACUAACGGGUGUGGGGAGUGGUGGGGCCAGGAGGCCAGGGAAGGCUUCCCAGAGGAGGUGGCAUGAGCAGAAUGUGGAAGAGUGAGUAAGAGUUUGCCAGGCAGCCCAGGGUGGAAGACCUUCCAGGGAGACUAGGCAGCAGGAGCCAGGCUGUGAGGGGCCUGGUCAGCCGCGUCCCCGAGCCUGGGCUUUAUGGGAAGGGCGGUGGGAGAACUGGGGGAUGUUGGGGAGACAAGGAUGCCUUGGGCUGGAGGGAGGCGGUUCAGGCAGCUGUUGGAGGACGGGUGGGUGUCGGGGGGACUGGAGGCGCCUCCUCACUUGGUCCCUUUCCUUAUUCAUCUCCGUAGCCCCAGCUGCCACAGCCGGCCUGGGUCAUGGGCAUUACUGGCUACCACUGAGUGAAGGUGAUCACCCAGGCCUGAGAUGGUCGGGACCACAGAGGUGCUGGGCCUCGGCAGGAGGGCGCAGAGCUGCGGGUCUAGGGGCUUCUCUCCAGGGCCCUGCCCUCCUGCGUCCCCUCGCAUCUCAGCCCGGCAUCUUAGGCCGGAGUCAGCCCUGGCGUGGAGGGAAAGCGGGUCAGGAGGCGGCCGGGUGGCAGGGCCACUCCGUCCAGCAGGGGGCAGCCGCAGCGCGUGGAUGGCUGCGCCCCCCAACACGGCUCGCUCUGUGCCACCGGCACUUCGGAAAGGGCCUUUCGGAAGAUGGGGGUCAGACCCAGGGUGUCAAGGGCUUCCUGGGCGAGCUGAAGGGCAGGUGAGGGACCCGUCCGCACCCUCCAGAUCUCAUUUAUUAGGGCAGUCCUGCUGGAAAACGAGGAUGCCGGCAGGACCCUGGAGGCCAGAUGGGUCGCUCCAGGAAUUUCCAACCCUGGAAGUGCACUGGGAUCACCUGGGGACUGUGGGAGCCACACGCACCCCUGGGGCCCUCCCCAGAGCAGGUGCAUCAGAGCCUCUGGGGCUGAGGCCCAGGCAUCAGUAACUUACAAAGCCACCCUGGUGGCUCUAAUGCACCCUGAAUUACUGGGUUGCAGGGCUUUGAGAGUGAGCUGAUCAAUGCCAGGAUGGUCUUUGCCCUCCUGGGGUAGGUCUGCAUCAUUUACAUUUCGAGACCAUGACAGUCACAGGAGUGGGUCCAAGGGCCCUGGGUUCCUGACAUCUGGAGGCUGAGAGAAGGUGGGCAGGACACACUGUGAGAGUUACGCGCUCCCACCCGCCCCAGGACGAGGCGUUCAGAGCGGGUUGCAGUGUGUGUGUCCAUGAAUGUGUACGAGCAUCUUUGUGUGUGUGUACACAGGCACAUUCUUGUGUGAAGACACUGGGCAGCUAUAUGCAUGGGCACACGCCUGUACUUUUGGGCUUGUUCUGUCUGCACAGAAACGUGUACUUUUGUGUCUGUGCUACACAUAUGUGUCAGCACAUGUGAGUAUUGCUCUAUGCCUGGGGCUGUGGGCUGUCUCCGUGUGUCUCUGCGUACACACAUGUGUCUCUGCAUCCCUGUGUCUCAUGUGUGAGGCUGUCUCAGGCUUGCCUGUGUGUGCUCAUGUUUUUGGGUCUUUAGAAACCAGAGGUGGAUUUAAAGCUCUGCUAUUUGAAGGUAUUUUUCCUCUUUCUCUCUCUCCUUCCAGCCUGAUCGAUAUGCGGCUCCCAGGCAGCCUCCCCAAAGACCACACACAGGCGAGUUCUGUGUGGACAGAGUCAAGUGUGGGCUUAGAAAAAUCCACCACAGCCCCUCCAGGCGGAACGUCUCCAGCCGGCCUCCAGGUGGGCAGCCGGUCUUGCUGGCGAGGACCUCCUCAGAGCUGAUGCGGCCAGCAGCAGGCACUAUGUGCCCCUGAGUGUGCCGGGCCCAGCGCCCCUCCCUGCCCAGCAUCUCGGAAAGCAGGGAAUGAGUUAAGCAGGGCCAGGUGGGAGCACGAGGGCCUCCCGGGCAGGCUAAUUCUUCAACACCACUUUCUAUCAAUAUUCCUUAUGUAUCUGUUCAGCAUUUAUUUGGUGGAGCGGGUACAAGUGAUUCUGUUAGUAAAGAUGGUGAUCUGCUCAUGGUAAAAAAUGAGAUUUAUUGCACACA
RNAcentral lists this long non-coding RNA (5131 nucleotides) under Equus caballus (horse). RNAcentral's name for it is "lncRNA (ENSECAG00000056068.1)". The record is from RNAcentral. Lineage: Eukaryota; Metazoa; Chordata; Mammalia; Perissodactyla; Equidae.